RNAcentral lists this ribosomal RNA (499 nucleotides) under uncultured bacterium. RNAcentral describes it as "partial 16S ribosomal RNA". It matches the Rfam family "Bacterial small subunit ribosomal RNA", at positions 28 to 507 of the family's 1533-position model. The record is from RNAcentral.
GAUGAACGCUGGCGGCGUGCCUAAUACAUGCAAGUCGAGCGAACAGACGAGAGUGCUUGCACUCUCUGACGUUAGCGGCGGACGGGUGAGUAACACGUGGGUAACCUACCUAUAAGACUGGGAUAACUUCGGGAAACCGGAGCUAAUACCGGAUAAUAUUUAGCUUCGCAUGAAGCAAUAGUGAAAGACGGUUCUGCUGUCACUUAUAGAUGGACCCGCGGUGUAUUAGCUGGUUGGUGAGGUAACGGCUCACCAAGGCAACGAUACAUAGCCGACCUGAGAGGGUGAUCGGCCACACUGGGACUGAGACACGGCCCAGACUCCUACGGGAGGCAGCAGUAGGGAAUCUUCCGCAAUGGACGAAAGUCUGACGGAGCAAUGCCGCGUGAGUGAAGAAGGUUUUCGGAUCGUAAAACUCUGUUGUAAGGGAAGAACAAGUACGUUAGUAACUGAACGUACCUUGACGGUACCUUACCAGAAAGCCACGGCUAACUACGUG